Molecule: ribosomal RNA, 250 nt
Filed under: uncultured bacterium
Lineage: Bacteria
Description: partial 16S ribosomal RNA
Rfam family: Bacterial small subunit ribosomal RNA
Source: RNAcentral
UAGGGAAUAUUGCGCAAUGGGGGAAACCCUGACGCAGCGACGCCGCGUGAGUGAUGAAGGCCUUCGGGUCGUAAAGCUCUGUCGUAUGGGAAUAACAUAAUGAAUGUACCAUGCAAGAAAGGAUCGGCUAACUUCGUGCCAGCAGCCGCGGUAAGACGAGGGAUCCUAGCGUUGUUCGGAAUCAUUGGGCGUAAAGCGGGUGUAGGCGGGCUUUUAAGUCAGAUGUGAAAUCCCAGGGCUCAACCCUGGA